AACGAACGCUGGCGGCAUGCCUAACACAUGCAAGUCGAACGAGACCUUCGGGUCUAGUGGCGCACGGGUGCGUAACGCGUGGGAACCUGCCCUUAGGUUCGGAAUAACUCCCCGAAAGGGGUGCUAAUACCGGAUAAUGUCUUCGGACCAAAGAUUUAUCGCCUUUGGAUGGGCCCGCGUUGGAUUAGCUAGUUGGUAGGGUAAAAGCCUACCAAGGCGACGAUCCAUAGCUGGUCUGAGAGGAUGAUCAGCCACACUGGGACUGAGACACGGCCCAGACUAAUGGGGGAGGUAGACGGGGAGAAUAUGCAACAACGGGGGACAGUCGGCACAAGGGAUGGCGGGGGAGAUAUGAAGGCCUUAGUGUUCUAAAGCUCCUGUCGGAGGGAAAAAAAGAAGAGCGACGAGCGAAUAAGCUCCGGCUAACCCGCGAGCGGCGGCACCGGGAAUAGUCGGAACCGAACCGGACUGAAC
Molecule: ribosomal RNA, 474 nt
Filed under: uncultured bacterium
Lineage: Bacteria
Description: partial 16S ribosomal RNA
Rfam family: Bacterial small subunit ribosomal RNA
Source: RNAcentral